AUGGGCGAAAGCCUGAUCCAGCCAUGCCGCGUGAGUGAAGAAGGCCUUCGGGUUGUAAAGCUCUUUCAUCCGGAAAGAAAUUGCUUCUACUAAUACUUGGAGUGGAUGACGGUACCGGAAGAAGAAGCACCGGCUAACUACGUGCCAGCAGCCGCGGUAAUAA
Molecule: ribosomal RNA, 163 nt
Filed under: uncultured bacterium
Lineage: Bacteria
Description: partial 16S ribosomal RNA
Rfam family: Bacterial small subunit ribosomal RNA
Source: RNAcentral